GUCUUACAGCCGCCGCGGUAAUACAUGCAAGCCGAGCGGUAGAGUCUCUUCGGAGACUUGAGAGCGGCGUACGGGUGCGGAACACGUGUGCAACCUGCCUUUAUCAGGGGGAUAGCCUUUCGAAAGGAAGAUUAAUACCCCAUAACAUAAAAAUUGGCAUCAAUUUAUAUUAAAAGCUUCGGCGGAUAAAGAUGGGCACGCGCAGGAUUAGAUAGUUGGUGAGGUAACGGCUCACCAAGUCCACGAUCCUUAGGGGGCCUGAGAGGGUGAUCCCCCACACUGGUACUGAGACACGGACCAGACUCCUACGGGAGGCAGCAGUGAGGAAUAUUGGACAAUGGGUGAAAGCCUGAUCCAGCCAUCCCGCGUGAAGGACGAAGGACCUAUGGUUUGUAAACUUCUUUUAUCGGAGAAUAAACCUGCUUACGUGUAAGCAGCUGAAGGUAUCCGAGGAAUAAGCACCGGCUAACUCCGUGCCAGCAGCCGCGGUAACAC
This 495-nucleotide ribosomal RNA is filed under the name uncultured bacterium. Its description in RNAcentral is "bacterial SSU rRNA". It matches the Rfam family "Bacterial small subunit ribosomal RNA", at positions 39 to 526 of the family's 1533-position model. The record is from RNAcentral.